GGUAAACGCUGGCGGCGUGCCUAAUACAUGCAAGUCGAGCGAACGGACGAGAAGCUUGCUUCUCUGAUGUUAGCGGCGGACGGGUGAGUAACACGUGGAUAACCUACCUAUAAGACUGGGAUAACUUCGGGAAACCGGAGCUAAUACCGGAUAAUAUUUUGAACCGCAUGGUUCAAAAGUGAAAGACGGUCUUGCUGUCACUUAUAGAUGGAUCCGCGCUGCAUUAGCUAGUUGGUAAGGUAACGGCUUACCAAGGCAACGAUGCAUAGCCGACCUGAGAGGGUGAUCGGCCACACUGGAACUGAGACACGGUCCAGACUCCUACGGGAGGCAGCAGUAGGGAAUCUUCCGCAAUGGGCGAAAGCCUGACGGAGCAACGCCGCGUGAGUGAUGAAGGUCUUCGGAUCGUAAAACUCUGUUAUUAGGGAAGAACAUAUGUGUAAGUAACUGUGCACAUCUUGACGGUACCUAAUCAGAAAGCCACGGCUAACUAUGUGCCAGCAGCCGCGGUAAUACGUAGGUGGCAAGCGUUAUCCGGAAUUAUUGGGCGUAAAGCGCGCGUAGGCGGUUUUUUAAGUCUGAUGUGAAAGCCCACGGCUCAACCGUGGAGGGUCAUUGGAAACUGGAAAACUUGAGUGCAGAAGAGGAAAGUGGAAUUCCAUGUGUAGCGGUGAAAUGCGCAGAGAUAUGGAGGAACACCAGUGGCGAAGGCGACUUUCUGGUCUGUAACUGACGCUGAUGUGCGAAAGCGUGGGGAUCAAACAGGAUUAGAUACCCUGGUAGUCCACGCCGUAAACGAUGAGUGCUAAGUGUUAGGGGGUUUCCGCCCCUUAGUGCUGCAGCUAACGCAUUAAGCACUCCGCCUGGGGAGUACGACCGCAAGGUUGAAACUCAAAGGAAUUGACGGGGACCCGCACAAGCGGUGGAGCAUGUGGUUUAAUUCGAAGCAACGCGAAGAACCUUACCAAAUCUUGACAUCCUUUGACAACUCUAGAGAUAGAGCCUUCCCCUUCGGGGGACAAAGUGACAGGUGGUGCAUGGUUGUCGUCAGCUCGUGUCGUGAGAUGUUGGGUUAAGUCCCGCAACGAGCGCAACCCUUAAGCUUAGUUGCCAUCAUUAAGUUGGGCACUCUAAGUUGACUGCCGGUGACAAACCGGAGGAAGGUGGGGAUGACGUCAAAUCAUCAUGCCCCUUAUGAUUUGGGCUACACACGUGCUACAAUGGACAAUACAAAGGGCAGCGAAACCGCGAGGUCAAGCAAAUCCCAUAAAGUUGUUCUCAGUUCGGAUUGUAGUCUGCAACUCGACUACAUGAAGCUGGAAUCGCUAGUAAUCGUAGAUCAGCAUGCUACGGUGAAUACGUUCCCGGGUCU
This 1372-nucleotide ribosomal RNA is filed under the name uncultured bacterium. RNAcentral's name for it is "bacterial SSU rRNA". It matches the Rfam family "Bacterial small subunit ribosomal RNA", at positions 28 to 1381 of the family's 1533-position model. The record is from RNAcentral.